Acipenser ruthenus (sterlet) is the source of this 643-nucleotide long non-coding RNA. RefSeq lists it as uncharacterized. The record is from RefSeq and is a predicted model, not a curated record. NCBI's taxonomy places the organism in Eukaryota, Metazoa, Chordata, Actinopteri, Acipenseriformes, Acipenseridae. The transcript has 2 exons.
ACAAAGACAGAGAGGAUGCUGAAGGUGCUGAAGGUGUAGCCUGGUUUGUAAGUGAUGUGCUUGGAAAGAGCAGAGACGUAGUGAUCAAGCUGUGGGAGACACUGGCUGAGGAAAUAGUGCACUUCCCAUCACCCAAUAUAAACACAAUACUGGAGGAGGUUGCAGAGGGGGGUCUGCCCACGGAGACGUAAAACGGCGUGCGGAAGCGCUGGAGGAAAAUCAGCCGGGACGAAAAAUCCCGGCGAGACAAAUAAAUAAGAAAACAAAGAAAGAAAGAUUUAGCAGUAGCGGGGAAAAAGAAAACUCUUGGGCAGCCCCGAUAAAGUGGAUAGCAGGCUGAGGGAGCCGCUAGAGUAGGACGGAGACCCGGGCCGUACGAGUAGCGACGGUUGGGGAGAAGCUGCCGAGUGCAGCACUUUUUAUUUUGUAGUUUUGUUUACUGUGUUUUGUUUUCUCUGUUUCUGUUGCCUUUUGAUUAGUAUUUUUUGUUCUAACCUCUGUACCCUGUACCGCUCCGGUAUAGUUGUGGCUCUGUCGCUACCAUAGCUGGUACGGCAGGCCACAGACAACAGCGCCCUCUGCGGGCUGAACCCAAAAUAAGUUUCUAAUAAAACUGGGCACCUGUGCGGUGUUUUCAGCCUCA